CAAGAACAUAAAGUUAAAAUAUAUGAAUUUCCAGAAACAGAUGAUGAAGAAGAAAAAAAACUUGUUAAAAAGAUAAAGGACCAUUUACCUCUUGCUGUGGUGGGUAGUAAUACUAUCAUUGAAGUUAAUGGCAAAAGGGUCAUAGGAAGGCAGUAUCCUUGGAGUGUUGCUGAAGUUGAAAAUGGUGAACAUUGUGAUUUUACAGUUUUAAGAAAUAUGUUGAUAA
This 226-nucleotide long non-coding RNA is filed under the name Homo sapiens (human). RNAcentral's name for it is "non-protein coding lnc-IGFBP3-4:14". The record is from RNAcentral. Lineage: Eukaryota; Metazoa; Chordata; Mammalia; Primates; Hominidae.